UUUUUUUCCUUCGAAACGAAGAGCGAGUGAUCCAUACAUGGUAACGGUGAGAAGACUGGCUUACGCGUUGCAACGCGUAACCCACCCUACCUGCUCUCCUGUCGCCACUCGUUCGCCUUCCGUUCUUUUCUCCUGCUUAUCCGCAAUAUUUGGGUGUGUACGUCUGUGACUCACGUAUCGACUUUUCUCCCAGCCAACUUCGAACAAGCAGGGUGGGUUUAAGGCACACCCAUCAUCCAGCUAAGGGUAGAGAAAAUACAUAUGUUGAUAUAAUUUUUAAACUUAAUUAUAAGCAUAUAUUUAUAUAUAUUUUGUAAAAAGAGAAAAA
Molecule: unclassified non-coding RNA, 328 nt
Filed under: Apis florea (little honeybee)
Lineage: Eukaryota; Metazoa; Arthropoda; Insecta; Hymenoptera; Apidae
Description: uncharacterized LOC100871596, transcript variant X1
Source: RNAcentral